AGUAGGUUUGAGGUGGAGCUCAGGGUAGUCCCGGGUAGUCCAUAUGCUUCCCUUGAGAAAUAGAGGUUUGCUGGUGGUAUUGCGGUGUUAGACCAUUCACAUCCAGCCUUUGGAUGGCAGAGGAGCUGCAUGGCAGUGCUAAACUGAUGCCCAAACGGGGAGUCAGAGAGUAGCGCAGGAGUCAGGGAAAACAAGACAGCAAUCUACAUUCUCACACUCUUCCUUGCUUCUUCUAUUCCUUUCCCACCACCUUCUCUUACAAAAGGAAUUUCUUUAAAAGAUCUCUUACAAGGAAACUUUACUUUACGUAAAACAGCUAUCGGCAAUUCUAUGCCCGUCGGGGCUGAGGGGGUCUGGGGAGCUCCAAGCGGACUGCGCUUCUAGUUUAUCCCUUGAGGAAGCUCCUAAGGUAGAUCCAUGGACACUUCAGGGUUCCUUCAGAAUUCACUUGAAAACACUCUUAAUCUCACUCUUCUUUUACAGAUGAAGAAAUUGAGACCCAGAGAGGUGAAGUGACUUGCCUAAGGCUGGCUAGAGACAUAACUGGAUGAUCACUCUGCUCUACUGGGUCUCAGGCCACUGAGAUUUUCCAAACUGCGUUCAUUAGAACACCAGUGUCCAAAGCGAGGUCAAUAGGUGUUCUGGGGGACAAAAGGGUUGCAUGUUCCCAUGGCAGAGGAUUUUCAGGCUGUGGAGAAAACAUAUUGAAGAUUAAAAGGAAAGUCAUUCAGAGUCGGAUGCCCCUAAACUGUGACCAUAAACAAGCAGAGCUUCAAAGCUACUAAUUUGUGUGGUCUCCUGUGGGUGCGGCUUCGACCACCAGAGGGAGCUGUGGGAGCAAGUCACAGAAAUCCCAGACUGGACUAAGCAACCAGGAAACUUCGUUCUCAAGUAACUAGAAGUCUAGAAGAUCUUGCAACUGAUCUUCAGAGUUAAGUUGGCCCAGUUGUUUUAGAGUAUAAUUCAAAUCUUAGGUCUUCCCUUUCAAGAGGGGAACAGGAAUGCAUUAAGUUAAGGAUUGGGAAUGUUUCUAGCCCCAGGGGUCUCAGGUAGCCAGGCCUGUGCCAGGGACUCUGCAUCUGGGCUGAGGGCAGCAAGACCACUCCUGGUAAGACCUAUAAGGGUAGAACUGGGGUUCCUAAUCCAUGCCAGGCGUGAAGCUGGGGCUGGUUCUUCAUGACCUGAGGCUGGUGAGAUCUUUGCUUACCUUCUUACUUGUAUUUUUAAGGCUCACAUUUCCCAGUGCUGGAGUCCUUUCCCAUCUCCUUUAUUACUGGCUUCUUUGCUUGUCAGUAUACCAGAAUAAAUCUUCCUACAAUAUGGGCCAUGCUCCACCCACUAUGGCAAAAGCAGCCAGCUGGAACACAGAACACAUGGGCUGAAAAUGUGGCAAUGCUUUGCUGAGUUCUAGUCUUUCCAAAAUUAUUAAAAGUGGUUGGUCAAAUUUCACUGAGUGUGCAAUAUUUGGAAAUAGCUGUUCCCGGGGGGGAAAAAAGCAGCUCUUGAAUGUGAGGAUUAUCAAGGAAGAUGAUGCUUU
Molecule: long non-coding RNA, 1537 nt
Filed under: Equus asinus (donkey)
Lineage: Eukaryota; Metazoa; Chordata; Mammalia; Perissodactyla; Equidae
Description: lncRNA (ENSEASG00005026033.1)
Source: RNAcentral